Molecule: non-coding RNA, 143 nt
Organism: Triticum aestivum (bread wheat)
Lineage: Eukaryota; Viridiplantae; Streptophyta; Magnoliopsida; Poales; Poaceae
Source: Rfam
CAACUACUCCCUGCAUUCGGAAAUACUUUGUUAUUAAAAUGGAUAAAAGGGGAUGUAUCUAGAAUCUAGAUGUAUUUUAGUUCUAGAUACAUCUCUUUUUAUACAUUUUGAUGACAAGUAUUUUCGGGCGGAGGGAGUAUUAG